RNAcentral lists this ribosomal RNA (253 nucleotides) under uncultured bacterium. RNAcentral describes it as "partial 16S ribosomal RNA". It matches the Rfam family "Bacterial small subunit ribosomal RNA", at positions 524 to 776 of the family's 1533-position model. The record is from RNAcentral.
UACGUAGGGGGCAAGCGUUGUCCGGAAUCAUUGGGCGUAAAGAGCGCGUAGGCGGCCCUGUAAGUCCGCUGUGAAAGUCAAGGGCUCAACCCUUGGAUGCCGGUGGAUACUGCAGGGCUAGAGUCCGGAAGAGGCGAGUGGAAUUCCUGGUGUAGCGGUGGAAUGCGCAGAUAUCAGGAGGAACACCAAUAGCGAAGGCAGCUCGCUGGGACGUUACUGACACUGAGGCGCGAAAGCGUGGGGAGCGAACAGG